AGUGAACGCUGGCGAUAGGCCUAACACAUGCAAGCCGAACGGCAGCACAGUAAGAGUUUGCUCUUACGGGUGGCGAGUGGCGGACGGGUGAGGAAUACAUCGGAAUCUACUUUUUCGUGGGGGAUAACGUAGGGAAACUUACGCUAAUACCGCAUACGACCUACGGGUGAAAGCAGGGGAUCUUCGGACCUUGCGCGAUUGAAUGAGCCGAUGUCGGAUUAGCUAGUUGGCGGGGUAAAGGCCCACCAAGGCGACGAUCCGUAGCUGGUCUGAGAGGAUGAUCAGCCACACUGGAACUGAGACACGGUCCAGACUCCUACGGGAGGCAGCAGUGGGGAAUAUUGGACAAUGGGCGCAAGCCUGAUCCAGCCAUACCGCGUGGGUGAAGAAGGCCUUCGGGUUGUAAAGCCCUUUUGUUGGGAAAGAAAAGCAGCAGGUUAAUACCCCGCUGUUCUGACGGUACCCAAAGAAUAAGCACCGGCUAACUUCGU
Molecule: ribosomal RNA, 491 nt
Filed under: uncultured bacterium
Lineage: Bacteria
Description: partial 16S ribosomal RNA
Rfam family: Bacterial small subunit ribosomal RNA
Source: RNAcentral